This 253-nucleotide ribosomal RNA is filed under the name uncultured bacterium. RNAcentral's name for it is "partial 16S ribosomal RNA". It matches the Rfam family "Bacterial small subunit ribosomal RNA", at positions 524 to 776 of the family's 1533-position model. The record is from RNAcentral.
UACGUAGGGUGCGAGCGUUAAUCGGAAUUACUGGGCGUAAAGCGUGCGCAGGCGGCUUGCCAAGUCAGAUGUGAAAGCCCCGGGCUCAACCCGGGAACGGCGUUUGAAACUGGCAGGCUAGAGUUUGGCAGAGGGGGGUGGAAUUCCACGUGUAGCAGUGAAAUGCGUAGAUAUCGUGAGGAACACCAGAGGCGAAGGCGGUUACCUGGACAGUUACUGACGCUCAGGCACGAAAGCAUGGGGAGCAAAAGGG